CGAACCCCGGGGCAGGAGCGGUGGUAAAGCGUGGGGUGGAAGGGUUGGCCGGAUGUAUUGGGCGUCAAGGGCUCGGAGGCGGUGCGACAAGUCGGGGGUGAAAACUCCGGGCUCAACCCGGAGACGCCACCCGAUACUGUCGUGACUUGAGUCCGGUAGGGGAGUGGGGAAUUCCUGGUGUAGCGGUGAAAUGCGCAGAUAUCAGGAGGAACACCGGUGGCGAAGGCGCCACUCUGGGCCGGUACUGACGCUGAGGAGCGAAAGCGUGGGUAGCAAACAGGAUUAGAUACCCUGGUAGUC
RNAcentral lists this ribosomal RNA (300 nucleotides) under uncultured Limimonas sp. RNAcentral describes it as "bacterial SSU rRNA". It matches the Rfam family "Bacterial small subunit ribosomal RNA", at positions 497 to 795 of the family's 1533-position model. Lineage: Bacteria; Pseudomonadati; Pseudomonadota; Alphaproteobacteria; Rhodospirillales; Rhodovibrionaceae. The record is from RNAcentral.